GUCAGUGAAGAAUCAAAGGUGUUUUUUAAAUGUGUGGUUUGCGAUUUCAAGCUGGGUAUGAAAUGUGCUACACUUCCAUACAAAGCAAGACACGAGUAUGAUGAGCAUCCUCUCUUCCUCACCUACAUGAAUGAAAAUGACUACCAACCUUCCUGUAUAAUUUGUGAAAAAGAUAGAGACCCAAAGCUCUGGUUCUACCGUUGCGAGAAAUGCGACUUCGAUGCUCAUCCAGAGUGUGCUCUCGGGAAAUACCCAUAUGUCAAGCCAGGGGGGGUUCACACGUAUCCUAAACACCCUCACCCUCUUGUUUUGGUCGUCAAGACAGAGGAUUAUCGUCCACAGGCAUGCGAUACUUGUGGUGAGCCUUGCGACGACUUGGCCCUUGAAUGUACUGAUCCUAACUGCAGUUUUAUCGUCCACCGGGAUAGAUGGGAAUGCUAUGAGUCAUUAUGGUGAUUGGAUUGCAGUUGAUGGCUUUUUUCUUAUUUUUGGGUUAUGAUUGUUGGGGUGAAUGGUUAGCUUCAUACUUAUUAUCUCUGUUUCUAUUUUCGCAUAUCAGAUCACUUUUUUUGUUUCUCUAUCUGUUUUUUUUUUCUGAACAAUGGAUGCUAUUUUAUUAAAACUGUCAAGCUCUCCAUAAAUUCUGCAUUUACAUUUUUGUUAUAGAUUUUAUUGUAAAUGCAUAAAAAUAGUCAUAUAAAACAACACUUAUCUAACUGAUAUCAAUUAUUUUCAUUCAAAUAUUUAAUUUUUAUUUCCUUAACACAAUCUAAUAUUAAAUAAAUGUAUUUAAAUAAUAUUUAAAAUGAACACCUCAAGGGCAUUCGAUAACUUUGUCUUUUAAUAAGAUAUAUCAUGAAAAAGUAAGUUAAUUCAUGUUCUUGGUAUUUUUCUUCUUAAAAAGAGUAAGAAUAUUUGGUUAGAUCUGAUAAAUCAACGACGAUUUUUAAUUUAGAUAAAAAGCUUUUUUUAGCUCAAACCCAAUUUAAUUAUUUGAAAGUGUUAUUGAUUUUAAAGGAUUAUAAAAUUCUAAUUUUAUAGAAAAUAAAUCUUUUAAAAUCUUCUAAUAAAAUUUGAGAUAAAAAAAAAUCCUUUACAAGACUGCUUAUUUAAGAAAAAUAUCCAAUUAAAAAUCUCCAACCUUUGCAUGCUGCUAGCAACAUUCCCAGCCUUCUUGGAUUGUAUUUUUCUUAGUUGCUUGGUUUAUUUGUAGUAAAUUGGUAAGUACCAGCGAGUUAGGUUAAAAUUAGGUGCAUAUCUGAAGCAUUCCUUAAUGUUUGACGUCAUAGGAAUGUUCAUAUCGUGACAGUUAAGGUAUCCUUUUCUCUUUGGAAUUUAAGCAAAAAAAUUCUCUGUUUCAUCAAAUUGAGUCGACAUCGACUCAUAAAUUCCCUCAAUUAUAUCAUUCAAGCAAGAACAACUUGUUAUCGUCAAUCGACAUCACACCAAAUAAUUACGAUAACGAAAAAUAAAUUUGAUUAAUUAGCUGUACUGGACUUGGAAUUAAUGCAUUCACUGUUUUCUGAAACUUUUCCUAGUAGAUUUUCAACUUUGCUAUGAGUUUUCAAAACAUGAUAAAAAGAUUUAUAUUCUUUUAUUUUGUUCAAGCAACACUGACAUGGCAAUAAGCUAGCAUUGCACUGCUAUGGAUCGUGGCGAUUUGAUUUGUUUUCCAAUUUACAAUUUAGUCAAAUUCCAAGAAAACUAACACAAAAAAAGAGAGUAAAUGACCUGUUCAAAAUCUAAUUAGAAAUAAACUUCAUUUUUUGAUAUAUGGGAACUGAUUAUAAUGAUAACUUGACCAUUGAAACCUGAAAAGGCAUCCAUCUGAAGAUGCCACCUACAUGAUUUAAUGUCAUUUUAGUUUUUGCCGUAUACAAAAUUUUACAGCACAUUGAGCCAUGAAAGUGACCCGUUUUGGAAUGAGUCCAGAGGGGUCUUUGAAAUUGCAGUUAGAACGUGAUUUAAAAAAAAUUAUUUUUUAAUAUUUUUGUAUAGGUAUUGGUAUCAUAAAUAAAUUUUAAAAAAUAAAAAAUAAAAAUUUUAAUUCAUUUUUUUUUUUUUAAAAAAAAAAACAAUUACUUUGAAACAACGUGGCAACUGAAUGGUGGUGCAGUUAAACGCAUUUUCCUAAUCAGCAGUUUUCCUUUCGAAAUGAAAACGGUUGGCGUGUACUUGUGCUUCCUUUUCUUUUUCUUUUAUUUUUGUUUUAUUUUUUAUUUUUUUUUAUUAACAUGCAUGUCCAGGUCAUCUUAUGUGCAACUUGACUAAUCUCACGGACCCUAAAGUUAAUAACUAUAUAAACCUCUAGUGGUCCUGAGGUUUGUAGGACCCGAAUGAGUGACCUCUAGAGAGCAAAUUUAGGAUCUGACCAGUUAAGCUAUACCCCUCAGAUUUAUUUUUUUAGUUUUUAUUCCAUAGUAAAAGGUAUUUUUUAUUAGUUUAUAUGUUAAUCAAGAUUGAGUUUUUUUAUUCAGAUGAUUUUAAAGAUAAAUAAUUUAAAGUUAUGAAUCAUCGAAUAAUCCAUUUAAAGUUAUAAAGUUGUGAUGUGUCUUAAAUCAAAUAAAAACUAUACUAGAUUAUUGACUUGUAUUAUGCUACAGGCUAGGUUAAAUUUUUUAUAAAUAUAAAAAAAUUAUUUAGAUAUUGUUAAUGUUUUUUUUCCAGUGAAAAAAUCUAAAUCACUGGAAGAUUGACCUGAUAUAACCAUAGUUAUAAAACCCGACCUGGUAGUUGACCCGGUAAAAUAACCGGGUCUCAGGUCUUGGGGGUCAACCCCUCUCCUUAAAUAUAAGGAUUAAAGAAAUCAAACUGCUAUAUCAUCCCUAAACCGCAAAACCCAGUGAUAAAUUGCUUGCAUUUCCUAUCCAUUUUUAGCAUAAGCAGCCGAAUGAAGAUGAAAAUACUUGUGUAACUAAAAUUUAAGUAGUAGAUCAAAAAUAGAAUGGUACUAGUAAAUGAGUGACUAUGAACUAUUAAAUAGAUUUAUUUAAUGUAUUAUAAAACUACCCUGUCUGUUUUCAAUUUAAUUAAUUUCUCCAUAGUUAUGAUCACUAAAACCCAUAAAGAUUUGUGAAUUUGAAGAAGAAAAUAAUAUUAUUUAACCUUUUUGUAAUUUAGGUUUAUAAUAAAAUUACAUUCCAACCAUGCUUUUAAAAAAAUUAAACUUUUUUUUAGCUUUAAUUUUUUUUUGUUCUUUAAUCGUUUUGAUAUGUUAAUUUAAAAAAAAUAUAAAAACAAAUUAUUUUGAUAUAUUUUUAAAUAAAAAAACAUCUCAAUUAUAUUUCUAAACAAGCGCAUGCUUGGAUUUGUAUGUUGAAAAUUCAUAGUUUUUAAACUCGGUCCGGUCCAAGAUCCGGGUUCCGGGUUUUGACCGGGUCACCAAGUCAUCCGGGUCAAUUUUUUUAAAAUCAAAAUGACUUUGUUUUAGUAAAAACAAGUUAACGGGUUGCAACCGGGUUUUGCCGCGUCACCUAGGUUGCCGGGUCAACUCAUGUUUUUUCUUUUUUAAAUCUGAUCCAGUUCUAACUUCGAAUUAGCUGGGUUUUGGAUCAAUUUGUCAAGACAGACGGGUUCUAAACUAUGAUUGAAGUUACUAUGUUUUCUAGUUUCCUUUUGUCCUUUUUACCUCACAUUUUUAAUCCUCAUGGUUCUCUUGCUUUGGAAAUGGAUGGCGAUGGCUUUAGUCAAUGCACUAGUUACAUGACCCGCGCGAUGCCGCGGGUCAAUGGUUUUUGCAUAAAAAAUAUCAAAAAAAAAUUAAAAUCUAAAAGUAUUAGGUUUUUUUGCAAAAUUAUACCCAAGAGUCUUGGGUGUGGCUGCAACGCCUGACCCAAGAGUAAUAUUUAUAAUAUUAAUAAUAACAUUAAACUUGUAUGACCCAAGUUUAAGUGGGUCUGACUGCAAUACCAGACCCAAUAGUCUUGGAUGUGGGUUUGGCUGCAAGGUCGUGUCAUAAAAGUGUGUUAAUUAAAUAGAUUAAUUAAAAAGAAAAAAACCAAAAGGAAGAAAAAAACUAAUAAAGAAAAAGAAAAAAAUCUGAAUUAACUGGGUUAACCCUUCAAACCAGGUUAACCCAUCACACCUUGGAUUCGUGUCGUGAAAGUUUGAUAACUAAAUAGAAAAAAAAUUGACAGGUUAACACAAAAUUAACUAGGCUAACCCGUCAAACCCGGGAUCCGUGUCAUGAAAGUUUGAUAACUAAAUUAAACGAAAAAAAUUAAUUAAAAAGAAAAAAAAAACAAACAAAAAGGCAUCACCCUUUUCACUGUGGACUCAGUAUGCAGUCUACAGUUAAAGACAUAAAAACAGCAAAAAAGCAAAAAGAAAAAAAAAACUAAAAGCAUCAGUCGAUAACUAAAUAGAAAAAAAUUUAAUAUUGAUGAACUAAAUUAAAUAAAAAAAAUUAAAUAAAAAGAAACAAUAAAAGAAAAAAAACUUAUAAGAAGAAAAAAACUAAUGAAGAAAAAGAAAAAAAAUCUAAAUUAACUGGGUUAACCCGUCAAACCUGAGAUCCGUGUCAUGAAAGUCUGAUAACUAAAUAGAAAAAAAUUUAAUAUCAACAAACUAAAUAAAAAAAUUAAUUAAAAAGAAAAAAAAGAAGGCAUAAGCUUUUUCACCGUGGACUGCACUGUGCAGUCCACAGUAAAAGGCAUAAAAAAAAAAAGAAACUAAAGGCAUCAGCUUUUUCACCGUGGACUGCACUGUGCACUCCACAGUAAAAGGCAUUAAAAAAAAGCAAAAAAAAAAAAACUAAAGGCUUCAGCCUUUUCACUGUAGACUGCAUAUAAUAUUAAAAUAUGAAAUCGAAAGAACAAAACUAAUGAGGAAAAAGAAAAAAAAUCUGAAUCAACCGGGUUAACCCGCCAAAUUAGGUUAACCUGUCAAACCUGGAAUUCGUGUCAUGAAAGUGUGAUAACUAAAUAGAAAAAAGAUUUAUUAUUAAUGAAAUAAAUUAAAAAAGAGAUUAAUUAAAAAGGAAAAAGCAAAUAGAAAAAAAUACCUACAGGAAGAAAAAAAACUAAUCAAGAAAAAGAAAAAAAAUCUGAAUAAACUGGGUUAACCUGUCAAACCUGGGAUCCAUGUCAUGAAAGUCUGAUAAUUAAAUAGAAAAAAUUUAAUAUUAAGAAACUAAAUUUAAAAAAAAAUAAUUAAAAAAAAGAAAAAAAAAUUAAAGGCAUUAGUUUUUUCACUGUGGAUUGUACUGUGCAAUCCACAGUAAAUAAUAUACGAAACCAUCAAACUUAUUUGAAACAAUAAAUAAUUAAGUUAUUAUAUGAAUAUUAAUUGAAUAUAAAUAAUUAAGUUAUUUGAAACAAUAAACAAUAAAAGGACAUGAGAGGAUGAAUAUGAAUUGAAUCCUAACUCCACUCUAAAACUAAUAGUUUCUAAUACUACUUUUCAUUUCAUUAGUAACUUAUUCAGUGGCGGAGCCACAGCUAGGUAAGAGGAGGGUAAUUGCCUUUUUAAUUUUUUUUAAAGUAUUGUUUUAUAUUAAAAUAUUAAUAUAAUAGCUUUAUAGUGUUAAUUUUCUUUAUUAGCUACUAAUUGAUCCAAGCUUUUGUAUAAUUAUUAUUAUCCUUGUCUUUCUCUUUUUAUAAAAUUUAUCUUCAAGCCAUAAACUAUUAAUUAAUUAAGUAAAUAGAUUCUUAUAUUUUAUAUUUUAGGGAAGUUUUCUUUAUUUUUUCUAUUUGUUUCAUUAUCUAAUUUUAGUUUUAUUUCUUUAUAAUUAGUUACUAAAAAUAUUGGGGUUUAUAAUAAUUUAUGAGUUUAUUGAAUUAAUAUGUGUAUAGGUAAUAUUAUAUGCUAAUGGAUAUGAAUUGAAAUGAGUUUUGAUGAAUUGAUAAGUAUUUUGUUAUGAAUUUCAUAUGAAAAAUGAUGGUGAUGAAUUUACUAGUAAUUAAAAAUGAAGUACAUGACAACUAAAAAAAUUAGAAACAUAAUAGAUAAAUUAAAAAGAAAACAUUUAAUAUUUAUGUUUAAUUUAGACGGCUACUGAAUUCACCUUCACUAAAAUCAAUCUCCUUCACUUGCAAUGCAUGCGGCACUGAUGGAGAUGACUCCCUAUUAGUGUGCACCAUGUGCCAAAUCUUGGUCCACGAAAAAUGCAUUUCAUUGCCACGCACCCUUAAAACGGUACUGCACCAUCAUCCCCAUAUCAUCCACACCUAUCAUCCUCAACAAUGUAUCAAAUCUAUAAACAAGUACUGUGGAAUUUGCCGUCGGGAAGUUGACACAGAAUACGGAGUUUACUAUUGCCCAGACUGUGACUUUGUUGCACACGUGAAUUGUAGCAGAGAAUAUGGCGAUUCUGCAACAGAGAUUGUAGAAGAAAACGAAGAAGAGCAAAGUGUGACUGCUGAUGAUCAAUUCAUGGAACCUAGCUUUCGCGUUGUCCGUGAGAUCAAGCAUGGAGAUGAGAGAAUAAUUGAAGAGAUCGAACAUUUCAGUCAUCAACAUAACCUAAUCCUUAUUGACAAGGUUGAUGAUGAUCUAAAGUGUGAUGGGUGCAUGUUACCAAUCUCCACUCCAUUUUAUAGUUGUGCCAGUUGUAAUUUCUUUCUUGACAAAACCUGCAUAGAAUUACCCAGGCGAAAAAAAUGGCAAUAUCACGAAAACCAACUGAUUCUUUCAUGGAGCCGAGGGCCACAUGAUCUGUUCUACUGUGAUGUGUGUAAGCAAUAUUUUCGUGGGCUCAGGUACAAAUGUGAUGUAUGUGCACUCUGGAUUGAUGUCCGAUGCUAAUCAUUGGAAGAUUCCACUAAACAUGGAGGUCAUGAGCAUCCCCUUUAUCUUCCAACGGGCAGAAAGAGUAUUCUCCGUUGCCGUAUUGGAGUUCGCGGGCAUCCCCCUUUGCUUGCAGAUGACACAGAGAUUAUUCCCCAUUGCGGUGGCUGUUGUGUCAGUGAAGAAUCAAAGGUAUUUUUUAAAUGUGCGGUUUGCGAUUUCAAGCUGGGUAUGAAAUGUGCUACACUGCCAUACAAAGCAAGACACGAGUAUGAUGAGCAUCCUCUCUUCCUCACCUACAUGAAUGAAAAUGACUACCAACCUUCCUGUAUAAUUUGUGAAAAAGAUAGAGACCCAAAGCUCUGGUUCUACCGUUGUGAG
Molecule: long non-coding RNA, 7107 nt
Filed under: Populus trichocarpa (black cottonwood)
Lineage: Eukaryota; Viridiplantae; Streptophyta; Magnoliopsida; Malpighiales; Salicaceae
Description: long non-coding RNA (PTRI_LNC003604)
Source: RNAcentral